CAAAAACUUGUUCUCUGUUAAGGUGACAUAUCAAAGUUUGGUAUGUCAUGUGUAACAUAAAUGUCAUUCUCUUCCUGUUAGAUUUGUAUGUUGUUUGAUAAUGCAUAAACCCAGUCAAUCGCAAACCUUGCAUGUCAUAAGUAUUGAGACCCCUGCUUACCAAAAUCACCACCAUUGUCCAUGGUAGAGGAGACCGGGGACCAAGUGGGGGAUAGUACCCAUUGUUAGAAAACCAGAAAAUUCAGCAAUUCUAAUAACUUCAACAGGCAUUGCUCUUCCUGCCUUGCUUCUCAUGUUCGUUUUUUCUAGACUGGAAAGAGUUUAAUAAUGCUUACCAAAGAACAUUAUUUUCGGUCAGAAAGUGCAGUAAAUUACUCAUUGCUUGUUGUUCGAUGCUACCUACCAAUUUUACCGUCCUUAUCACUGUUAUAUAUGCCUAGCAUUUCACUGUAAUUCAUAUCCGAGUUGAACUCUCAGUUUCUUUCGUACGAGUAGUUUCCUUUAUUCAUAAUUUUUUUGGGUCUCCAUUGAUUGCUUGAGUUAUCUUUCGUGAGUUGUAAUCCAUUGCCAGAUUUUUACCUUUUCCUUUCUUCUCUGUCUUUUUUCAUUUUUUUUCGUCCUUUUUUUCAUUAUUUACUGCAGAAUUUUCCUCGAUGUUAUUUUUUUCGGGGAAAGUGAAUUUUCAUUCAUCCGCUGUCUCAUCAGUAUUUCUUGUAUUUGCAGUGCAUCUCCUUUUCUAUAAUGCGUUUUUUUUCUUAUAUGAUUAGGGAUGGACCAAGAUCAUACCAGUCAGCGUGCAACUUGCAAUGGCUUCUUGAGGAGACGUGGAGCGGAUAAAACGUAUGGAAUAAAGCUGGUUCGAGGUAAACUCUUUUUUCCUCUCAUCCACAUCGUAAUAAUAAUUUCUUUUAUAUUAUUAUUCAGAUGUUAUAUGGGACAGUUCUUGCGUAGAUGUCUUUAUUCUCGAAGCAAAUAAAAAAGGAUAAAUUAGAUUCUUGUUAUAUUUUAUUCUGUCUUAUUCUUUGAAAUCAACAUGUAUAUAAAUUUAUAUAUUGUUAACCAAGCCAUAUAUAAAUUGGUUUCAUACCAUCUCAAACCCAGCCGAACUGAGAAUUUUUAAAACUCGUGGGCUUGUGUGCUGACAAAAUAUCAUGCCCCUGUUGUCGAAGAACAAGAGAAAGAAAGAAAAGGCUGCAAUGACUUGUACUUGCUAAAUUUGAAAAAGAAGGAAAGCUACGGCUAUGAUGAAAUAACCCUUAAAAAAGAUGCUAUUGCUAUUAUAAUAAUAAUGAAUGACGCUCGUUGGAUUUUCCGAUACUCCAGGACUCUAUACACUUGAAAAGUAGAUAAAUUGGCCUUGAUCGGUAAACUAGCAUAUCUGUUGUUAUCGUGAUGGAUAUGUUGUCCUUGCCACCAUCAUAUGGAAUUUUUAUAUUGGCAUAUUAAAUACCACACGACACAUUACGAGCCUUGUGGUGGAGAAACCAUUUCGAAGAAAUUUGAAUUUUUUUUUAAGGUUAGGCCUCCCCUUUCAUUCUACCUCCACCGGAACAAGGCUUUUUUUUUUGCAAAUAAAUUACCUCCACUUGCUCAAGACAUGGUUCUUAACCACACCUUUAAUCUACAGGCCAAAGAUAAGUUGUUUAGCCUCCAAGACUAUCUUCUUCUUAACUAUGAUAUGUCUUUUUUUUGUUUUCUUUGAUUAGUAUAAAAAAAUAAGUUUUCUUUUAAAUAUAUUAUUUUGAUAUAUUUUUAAAUAAAAAAUAUUUUGAAAAACAAUUAUUACAGUAAUAAAAACAGACUCUAUAACCUUUUUUUUGUUAACAGUGGGUGUCCGGGCCAGCUUACGCGCACCUCGACUAAUCCUUCAAGACCCUGAAAUUAACGACUAUAUAAACCUUUAGUAGCCCUGAGGUUUGUGACACUCAAACUAGUGAUAUCUGAAAAGUAAAUUCAGAGUCUGAUCAAUUAAACUACACUCUUUUUUAACUUAAUUUCAAUAGACUCGUACAAGUUUUUGAUGCACCGAGUUUUUCCUUGUAUAAGGAAAAAAUACAUCAGCGGUUUGGUAAAUUGCAUUUCUUGAAUUAUUUUUCCAUGAAAAUGUUAUACUUGAAAAACUGUUCAGUUGUGAGGUUCUGAUAGCAUCCAUAUAACAGAAGUGUUCUUGAGAUCUUCUGUCAAAGAAUU
This 2190-nucleotide long non-coding RNA is filed under the name Populus trichocarpa (black cottonwood). RNAcentral's name for it is "long non-coding RNA (PTRI_LNC000304)". Lineage: Eukaryota; Viridiplantae; Streptophyta; Magnoliopsida; Malpighiales; Salicaceae. The record is from RNAcentral.